RNAcentral lists this ribosomal RNA (431 nucleotides) under uncultured bacterium. Its description in RNAcentral is "partial 16S ribosomal RNA". It matches the Rfam family "Bacterial small subunit ribosomal RNA", at positions 29 to 507 of the family's 1533-position model. The record is from RNAcentral.
AACGAACGCUGGCGGCAGGCUUAACACAUGCAAGUCGAACGCCCCGCAAGGGGAGUGGCAGACGGGUGAGUAACGCGUGGGAAUCUACCCAUCCCUACGGAAUAACGCAUGGAGACGUGUGCUAAUACCGUAUACGCCCUACGGGGGAAAGAUUUAUCGGGGAUGGAUGAGCCCGCGUUGGAUUAGCUAGUUGGUGGGGUAAAGGCCUACCAAGGCGACGAUCCAUAGCUGGUCUGAGAGGAUGAUCAGCCACAUUGGGACUGAGACACGGCCCAAACUCCUACGGGAGGCAGCAGUGGGGAAUAUUGGACAAUGGGCGCAAGCCUGAUCCAGCCAUGCCGCGUGAGUGAUGAAGGCCUUAGGGUUGUAAAGCUCUUUCACCGGAGAAGAUAAUGACGGUAUCCGGAGAAGAAGCCCCGGCUAACUUCGUG